RNAcentral lists this non-coding RNA (147 nucleotides) under uncultured Lachnospira sp. Lineage: Bacteria; Bacillati; Bacillota; Clostridia; Lachnospirales; Lachnospiraceae. The record is from RNAcentral.
GAUACUGUGAGGAUUAUGCCUUACAGUGCAGCAAUUCCCGCACACGAUGUGCGGGAAAGGUGCAUCCGAGCCAUGGAUGGCGAGUAUGCACCGGUUGCGUCCGUCUGACAUAAAUACACGCAUAAUCCCACAGUAUCCAGACAGCGA